ACUCCUACGGGAGGCAGCAGUGGGAAUAUUGGACAAUGGGAACCGUAGCAUCAGCCAUGCCGCGUGUGUGAAGAAGGCCUUCGGGUUGUAAAGCACUUUCAGUGGGGAGGAAAGGAUUGAUGGUUAAUACCUAUCAGCUGUGACGUUACCCACAGAAGAAGCACCGGCUAACUCCGUGCCAGCAGCCGCGGUAAUACGGAGGGUGCGAGCGUUAAUCGGAAUUACUGGGCGUAAAGCGCAUGCAGGUGGUUUGUUAAGUCAGAUGUGAAAGCCCGGGGCUCAACCUCGGAAUAGCAUUUGAAACUGGCAGACUAGAGUACUGUAGAGGGGUGAGAAAUUUCAGGUNUAGCGGUAAAUGCGUAGAGAUCUG
This 370-nucleotide ribosomal RNA is filed under the name uncultured bacterium. RNAcentral describes it as "bacterial SSU rRNA". It matches the Rfam family "Bacterial small subunit ribosomal RNA", at positions 335 to 700 of the family's 1533-position model. The record is from RNAcentral.